CAUAUCAAUAAGCGGAGGAAAAGAAACUAACAAGGAUUCCCCUAGUAACUGCGAGUGAAGCGGGAAAAGCUCAAAUUUAAAAUCUGGCAGCCUUUGGUUGUCCGAGUUGUAAUCUAGAGAAGUGUUAUCCGCGCUGGACCGUGUACAAGUCUCCUGGAAUGGAGCGUCAUAGAGGGUGAGAAUCCCGUCUUUGACACGGACUGCCAGGGCUUUUGUGAUACGCUCUCAAAGAGUCGAGUUGUUUGGGAAUGCAGCUCAAAAUGGGUGGUAAAUUCCAUCUAAAGCUAAAUAUUGGCGAGAGACCGAUAGCGAACAAGUACCGUGAGGGAAAGAUGAAAAGAACUUUGGAAAGAGAGUUAAACAGUACGUGAAAUUGCUGAAAGGGAAACGCUUGAAGUCAGUCGCGUUGUCCAGGGAUCAACCUUGCUUUUGCUUGGUGCACUUUCUGGUUGACGGGUCAGCAUCAAUUUUGACUAUUGGAAAAAGAUUAGGGGAAUGUGGCAUCUUUCGAUGUGUUAUAGCCCUUGGUUGCAUACAAUGGUUGGGAUUGAGGAACUCAGCACGCCGCAAGGCCGGGUUUUUAACCACGUUCGUGCUUAGGAUGCUGGCAUAAUGGCUUUAAUCGACCCGUCUUGAAACACGGACCAAGGAGUCUAACAUGCCUGCGAGUGUUUGGGUGGAAAACCCGAGCGCAUAAUGAAAGUGAAAGUUGAGAUCCCUGUCGUGGGGAGCAUCGACGCCCGGACCAGACCUUUUGUGACGGUUCCGCGGUAGAGCAUGUAUGUUGGGACCCGAAAGAUGGUGAACUAUGCCUGAAUAGGGUGAAGCCAGAGGAAACUCUGGUGGAGGCUCGUAGCGAUUCUGACGUGCAAAUCGAUCGUCAAAUUUGGGUAUAGGGGCGAAAGACUAAUCGAACCAUCUAGUAGCUGG
RNAcentral lists this ribosomal RNA (930 nucleotides) under Cortinarius sp. PDD 106284. RNAcentral's name for it is "partial large subunit ribosomal RNA". It matches the Rfam family "Eukaryotic large subunit ribosomal RNA", at positions 39 to 954 of the family's 3401-position model. Lineage: Eukaryota; Fungi; Basidiomycota; Agaricomycetes; Agaricales; Cortinariaceae. The record is from RNAcentral.